Dioscorea cayenensis subsp. rotundata (Guinea yam) is the source of this 804-nucleotide long non-coding RNA. RefSeq lists it as uncharacterized. The record is from RefSeq and is a predicted model, not a curated record. The transcript is spliced from 6 exons. NCBI's taxonomy places the organism in Eukaryota, Viridiplantae, Streptophyta, Magnoliopsida, Dioscoreales, Dioscoreaceae.
CCUUUAUCAGAACAGUUCUACUUUCUCAGAGACUCUUCUCUCUCUCUCUCUUAACCUCACCUGGCUUCUCUUGCUUCUCUCUUUCCACUUUGCAAACCCUAGAAUCUCCGAUCCGUUCUACGGCGAUCUCAAUACCCUCCCCUUUGUCUCGAUCGCUGAUUAUUUCAUUGCGUUACAGGUUGUGGUGAUCUCUGACGAAGGCGGAGGGGUUGCGGUCUUCGUUAUCUGAUCACAGAGGAUUUUGAAGAAGUUCCUGUUCAAAGCCAUGGGUUUGGUAUUCUUGAUGUUGGAAAUCGCUCACCAGAUGAAGCAUGGGCUGCUGGAGGGAGUGGUAUUUUGCUGAGAACGAUGAAUGGUGGCAAGUCAUGGACUCGUGAUAAAGCUGCAGACAAUAUAGCUACAAAUCUCUAGGGUUUCUACAGUCACUGGCGCUGCCGAUCGAUUCAAGAGCUCUUGGAGAUCCUCCAUCGCGGUUGAGGACAUCCAAAUAGAGUGGAAUAUCAUGUACCUGAUGCUUCUAGUGCUCAACAAACGCCGCGUGGGAAUAAUCAUUCUCAUGAAUCAAGUCAUCAAGUAAAUCCAAAUGCAUCAAGUGAUGCUGUUUAGAAGAUGACAUCGGUUCUACUUGAGAAAAUUCUUGUUGCUUUAUUGAGUUGUUAGACAUGAAAUGAAAGUAGUUUAUUUUUGUGUUAGAUUUGAAAUUGAGGGAAGAACUCUUGGUUGUCAAGAUUGAAUGGUGGUUUAUUUUUGGACAUAUACCUUACAAAUAUAUGUUUGUGGUGAUGUAAUAGUUUUUCUUUUUUA